RNAcentral lists this ribosomal RNA (869 nucleotides) under uncultured archaeon. RNAcentral's name for it is "bacterial SSU rRNA". It matches the Rfam family "Archaeal small subunit ribosomal RNA", at positions 1 to 879 of the family's 1478-position model. The record is from RNAcentral.
UUCCGGUUGAUCCCGCCGGAGGUUACUGCUAUUGGGGUCCGACUAAGCCAUGCGAGUUGAAUGUCCGAAAGGGCAUAGCGCACUGCUCAGUAACACGUGGACAACCUGCCCUGAGGACUGGAAUAAUCCCGGGAAACUGGGGAUAAUACCCCAUAGAUCAGGGACGCUGGAAUGCCUCCUGAUCGAAAGGUCCGCCGCCUGAGGAUGGGUCUGCGGCCGAUUAGGUUGUUGUUGGGGUAACGGCCCAACAAGCCUUUGAUCGGUACGGGUUGUGAGAGCAAGAGCCCGGAGAUGGAUUCUGAGACACAAAUCCAGGCCCUACGGGGCGCAGCAGGCGCGAAAACUUUACAAUGCGAGAAAUCGUGAUAAGGGAACCCCGAGUGCCCGUAAAUUCGGGCUGUCCAUCAGUGUAAAAAACUGGUGAAGAAAGGGCCGGGCAAGACCGGUGCCAGCCGCCGCGGUAAUACCGGCGGCUCGAGUGGUGGCCACUAUUACUGGGCUUAAAGCGUCCGUAGCUGGAUUGUUAAGUCUCUUGGGAAAUCCGCCGGCUUAACCGGCGGGCGUUCAGGAGAAACUGGCAAUCUAGGGACCGGGAGAGGUGAGAGGUACUCCAGGGGUAGGAGUGAAAUCCUGUAAUCCUUGGGGGACCACCUGUGGCGAAGGCGUCUCACUAGAACGGCUCCGACAGUGAGGGACGAAAGCUGGGGGAGCAAACCGGAUUAGAUACCCGGGUAGUCCCAGCUGUAAACGAUGCGCGUUAGGUGUAUCGGUGACCACGAGUCAUCGAGGUGCCGAAGGGAAACCGUGAAACGUGCCGCCUGGGAAGUACGGUCGCAAGGCUGAACUUAAAGGAAUUGGCGGGGGAGCAC